RNAcentral lists this ribosomal RNA (344 nucleotides) under uncultured fungus. Its description in RNAcentral is "SSU rRNA". It matches the Rfam family "Eukaryotic small subunit ribosomal RNA", at positions 292 to 636 of the family's 1831-position model. Lineage: Eukaryota; Fungi. The record is from RNAcentral.
GGUUCAUUCAAAUUUCUGCCCUAUCAACUUUCGAUGGUAGGAUAGUGGCCUACCAUGGUUUCAACGGGUAACGGGGAAUUAGGGUUCUAUUCCGGAGAAGGAGCCUGAGAAACGGCUACUACAUCCAAGGAAGGCAGCAGGCGCGCAAAUUACCCAAUCCCGACCGGGGAGGUAGUGACAAUAAAUACUGAUACAGGGCUCUUUUGAGUCUUGUAAUUGGAAUGAGUACAAUUUAAAUCCCUUAACGAGGAACAAGUGGAGGGCAAGUCUGGUGCCAGCAGCCGCGGUAAUUCCAGCUCCAAUAGCGUAUAUUAAAGUUGUUGCAGUUAAAAAGCUCGUAGUUG